RNAcentral lists this ribosomal RNA (253 nucleotides) under uncultured bacterium. Its description in RNAcentral is "partial 16S ribosomal RNA". It matches the Rfam family "Bacterial small subunit ribosomal RNA", at positions 524 to 776 of the family's 1533-position model. The record is from RNAcentral.
CACGUAGGGCGCGAGCGUUGUCCGAAAUUAUUGGGCGUAAAGAGCUCGUAGGCGGCCUGUUGCGUCCGCUGUGAAAGCCCGGGGCUUAACCCCGGGUCUGCAGUGGAUACGGGCAGGCUAGAGGUAGGUAGGGGAGAAUGGAAUUCCCGGUGUAGCGGUGAAAUGCGCAGAUAUCGGGAGGAACACCGGUGGCGAAGGCGGUUCUCUGGGCCUUACCUGACGCUGAGGAGCGAAAGCGUGGGGAGCAAACAGG